UACGUAGGGGGCAAGCGUUAUCCGGAAUCACUGGGCGUAAAGGGUGCGUAGGCGGUCUUGCAAGCCAGGGGUGAAAGGCUAUGGCUCAACCAUAGUGAGCCUUUGGAACUGCCGGACUUGAGUACAGGAGAGGAAAGUGGAAUUCCUAGUGUAGCGGUGAAAUGCGUAGAUAUUAGGAGGAACACCAGUGGCGAAGGCGACUUUCUGGACUGUUACUGACGCUGAGGCACGAAAGCGUGGGGAGCGAACA
Molecule: ribosomal RNA, 250 nt
Filed under: uncultured bacterium
Lineage: Bacteria
Description: partial 16S ribosomal RNA
Rfam family: Bacterial small subunit ribosomal RNA
Source: RNAcentral